Long non-coding RNA from Asparagus officinalis (garden asparagus), 430 nucleotides. RefSeq lists it as uncharacterized. The transcript has 2 exons. The record is from RefSeq and is a predicted model, not a curated record. Lineage: Eukaryota; Viridiplantae; Streptophyta; Magnoliopsida; Asparagales; Asparagaceae.
UUGACAAUUGUGCCUUCAAGCUCCUAUAAAUUCAGUCCUUAACCAAUCAAGUUCUUCACAAGUAGCAAAAUAAGAGAUCAUUAAGUGUAAACAGAUAUCAAGGAAAUGGGAGGCUGCAUCCACCUUGCUAGGGCUAAUGGAGGAGGAGGAGGUGGUGGGGGUGGAGGAGGAGGCGGUGGCGGAGGCGGUGGCAGUAGCGGUGGUGGGGGAGGAGGAGGUGGCGGACGCUGAUGUGGAUUCUAUAAAUAAUUAAAGAUGUGUUUCGCAUAUGUACUAUUUUACAUUCAGUUGUCUGUUGUUUUCAGCCUCUCGUUUGCUCUUGUUAUUUUCCGAACUCAACGGUUAUCAGAUGUAUAAAUAUGGCAUGUGAACACCUUUGUGGCUUCCUGUUAUGCUAUGCUAUGAAUAACACAUGUUUGGGUUGUCUUUA